Molecule: ribosomal RNA, 492 nt
Filed under: uncultured bacterium
Lineage: Bacteria
Description: partial 16S ribosomal RNA
Rfam family: Bacterial small subunit ribosomal RNA
Source: RNAcentral
AGUGAACGCUGGCGGUAGGCCUAACACAUGCAAGUCGAACGGCAGCACAGUAAGAGCUUGCUCUUACGGGUGGCGAGUGGCGGACGGGUGAGGAAUACAUCGGAAUCUACUUUUUCGGGGGGGAUAACGUAGGGAAACUUACACUAAUACCGCAUACGACCUACGGGUGAAAGCAGGGGAUCUUCGGACCUUGCGCGAUUGAAUGAGCCGAUGUCGGAUUAGCUAGUUGGCGGGGUAAAGGCCCACCAAGGCGACGAUCCGUAGCUGGUCUGAGAGGAUGAUCAGCCACACUGGAACUGAGACACGGUCCAGACUCCUACGGGAGGCAGCAGUGGGGAAUAUUGGACAAUGGGCGCAAGCCUGAUCCAGCCAUACCGCGUGGGUGAAGAAGGCCUUCGGGUUGUAAAGCCCUUUUGUUGGGAAAGAAAAGCAGCAGGUUAAUACCCCGCUGUUCUGACGGUACCCAAAGAAUAAGCACCGGCUAACUUCGUG